CGAAGCGGAUCUCUUAAAGCUGUUCUCAGUUCGGACUGCAGUCUGCAACUCGACUGCACGAAGCUGGAAUCGCUAGUAAUCGCGGAUCAGCACGCCGCGGUGAAUACGUUCCCGGGCCUUGUACACACCGCCCGUCACACCAUGGAAGUCUGCAAUGCCCGAAGCCGGUGGCCUAACCACUUAUGUGGAAGGAGCCGUCUAAGGCAGGGCAGAUGACUGGGGUGAAGUCGUAACAAGGUACC
This 242-nucleotide ribosomal RNA is filed under the name uncultured bacterium. RNAcentral describes it as "partial 16S ribosomal RNA". It matches the Rfam family "Bacterial small subunit ribosomal RNA", at positions 1263 to 1500 of the family's 1533-position model. The record is from RNAcentral.